AUAACUGUAAUUUGAAUUGAUAAAGUUGAUAGUUCCCAUUAGUUUAAUUAGCAGGCUCAUGAAUUUGCUUAAAACCAGGCCCAAUGUUAGUCAUGGUGCGACCAUGAGUUCCUUAUUUGCAAUUGUGUGCAUCCAACGAACCAAGAAGGUCCCGUAUUAUCAUGUUAAUCUGAGUCAACAUUCGUUCAUUUUUAGCAAA
RNAcentral lists this long non-coding RNA (199 nucleotides) under Nicotiana benthamiana. RNAcentral's name for it is "long non-coding RNA (NBEN_LNC011890)". The record is from RNAcentral. Lineage: Eukaryota; Viridiplantae; Streptophyta; Magnoliopsida; Solanales; Solanaceae.